RNAcentral lists this ribosomal RNA (433 nucleotides) under uncultured bacterium. RNAcentral's name for it is "bacterial SSU rRNA". It matches the Rfam family "Bacterial small subunit ribosomal RNA", at positions 29 to 507 of the family's 1533-position model. The record is from RNAcentral.
AACGAACGCUGGCGGCAGGCCUAACACAUGUAAGUCGAGCGAGCAUUUCGGUGCUAGCGGCGGACGGGUUAGUAACGCGUGGGAACGUGCCCUUUGCUACGGAAUAGUCCUGGGAAACUGGGGGUAAUACCGUAUGUGCCCUUCGGGGGAAAGAUUUAUCGGCAAAGGAUCGGCCCGCGUUGGAUUAGGUAGUUGGUGGGGUAAUGGCCUACCAAGCCGACGAUCCAUAGCUGGUUUGAGAGGAUGAUCAGCAACACUGGGACUGAGACACGGCCCAGACUCCUACGGGAGGCAGCAGUGGGGAAUCUUAGACAAUGGGCGCAAGCCUGAUCUAGCCAUGCCGCGUGGACGAUGAAGGCCUUAGGGUUGUAAAGUCCUUUCAGCUGGGAAGAUAAUGACGGUACCAGCAGAAGAAGCCCCGGCUAACUCCGUG